This 1052-nucleotide ribosomal RNA is filed under the name Pseudoalteromonas sp. KJF4-1. RNAcentral describes it as "bacterial SSU rRNA". It matches the Rfam family "Bacterial small subunit ribosomal RNA", at positions 474 to 1523 of the family's 1533-position model. The record is from RNAcentral. Lineage: Bacteria; Pseudomonadati; Pseudomonadota; Gammaproteobacteria; Alteromonadales; Pseudoalteromonadaceae.
GUUACUGACAGAAUAAGCACCGGCUAACUCCGUGCCAGCAGCCGCGGUAAUACGGAGGGUGCGAGCGUUAAUCGGAAUUACUGGGCGUAAAGCGUACGCAGGCGGUUUGUUAAGCGAGAUGUGAAAGCCCCGGGCUCAACCUGGGAACUGCAUUUCGAACUGGCAAACUAGAGUGUGAUAGAGGGUGGUAGAAUUUCAGGUGUAGCGGUGAAAUGCGUAGAGAUCUGAAGGAAUACCGAUGGCGAAGGCAGCCACCUGGGUCAACACUGACGCUCAUGUACGAAAGCGUGGGGAGCAAACGGGAUUAGAUACCCCGGUAGUCCACGCCGUAAACGAUGUCUACUAGAAGCUCGGAGCCUCGGUUCUGUUUUGCGGGGGCACAGCUAACGCAUUAAGUAGACCGCCUGGGGAGUACGGCCGCAAGGUUAAAACUCAAAUGAAUUGACGGGGGCCCGCACAAGCGGUGGAGCAUGUGGUUUAAUUCGAUGCAACGCGAAGACCUUACCUACACUUGACAUACAGAGAACUUACCAGAGAUGGUUUGGUGCCUUCGGGAACUCUGAUACAGGUGCUGCAUGGCUGUCGUCAGCUCGUGUUGUGAGAUGUUGGGUUAAGUCCCGCAACGAGCGCAACCCCUACCUUAGUUCCAGCAGGUAAUGGUGAGAACUCUAAGGAGACUGCCGGUGAUAAACCGGAGGAAGGUGGGGACGACGUCAAGUCAUCAUGGCCCUUACGUGUAGGGCUACACACGUGCUACAAUGGUGCAUACAGAGUGCUGCGAACUCGCGAGAUUAAGCGAAUCACUUAAAGUGCGUCGUAGUCCGGAUUGGAGUCUGCAACUCGACUCCAUGAAGUCGGAAUCGCUAGUAAUCGCGUAUCAGAAUGACGCGGUGAAUACGUUCCCGGGCCUUGUACACACCGCCCGUCACACCAUGGGAGUGGGUUGCUCCAGAAGUAGAUAGUCUAACCCUCGGGAGGACGUUUACCACGGAGUGAUUCAUGACUGGGGUGAAGUCGUAACAAGGUAGCCCUAGGGGAACCUGCGGCUGGAU